ACCCAGUGUGUUUCGACACACUAUCAUUAACUGAAUCCAUAGGUUAAUGAGGCGAACCGGGGGAACUGAAACAUCUAAGUACCCCGAGGAAAAGAAAUCAACCGAGAUUCCCCCAGUAGCGGCGAGCGAACGGGGAGGAGCCCAGAGCCUGAAUCAGUGUGUGUGUUAGUGGAAGCGUCUGGAAAGGCGCGCGAUACAGGGUGACAGCCCCGUACACAAAAAUGCACAUAUUGUGAGCUCGAUGAGUAGGGCGGGACACGUGGUAUCCUGUCUGAAUAUGGGGGGACCAUCCUCCAAGGCUAAAUACUCCUGACUGACCGAUAGUGAACCAGUACCGUGAGGGAAAGGCGAAAAGAACCCCGGCGAGGGGAGUGAAAAAGAACCUGAAACCGUGUACGUACAAGCAGUGGGAGCCUCUUAAUGGGGUGACUGCGUACCUUUUGUAUAAUGGGUCAGCGACUUAUAUUCUGUAGCAAGGUUAACCGAAUAGGGGAGCCGAAGGGAAACCGAGUCUUAACUGGGCGUUAAGUUGCAGGGUAUAGACCCGAAACCCGGUGAUCUAGCCAUGGGCAGGUUGAAGGUUGGGUAACACUAACUGGAGGACCGAACCGACUAAUGUUGAAAAAUUAGCGGAUGACUUGUGGCUGGGGGUGAAAGGCCAAUCAAACCGGGAGAUAGCUGGUUCUCCCCGAAAGCUAUUUAGGUAGCGCCUCGUGAAUUCAUCUCCGGGGGUAGAGCACUGUUUCGGCAAGGGGGUCAUCCCGACUUACCAACCCGAUGCAAACUGCGAAUACCGGAGAAUGUUAUCACGGGAGACACACGGCGGGUGCUAACGUCCGUCGUGAAGAGGGAAACAACCCAGACCGCCAGCUAAGGUCCCAAAGUCAUGGUUAAGUGGGAAA
Molecule: ribosomal RNA, 902 nt
Filed under: Escherichia coli
Lineage: Bacteria; Pseudomonadati; Pseudomonadota; Gammaproteobacteria; Enterobacterales; Enterobacteriaceae
Description: partial 23S ribosomal RNA
Rfam family: Bacterial large subunit ribosomal RNA
Source: RNAcentral